UUGGAGGGCAAGUCUGGUGCCAGCAGCCGCGGUAAUUCCAGCUCCAAUAGCGUAUAUUAAAGUUGUUGCAGUUAAAAAGCUCGUAGUUGAAUUUCGGGAUCAAUACGUCGGUCGUGCUUUCGGGUACGUACUGGCGUCAUUGGUUUCUCCUUUCUGACGAACCAUGAUGUCAUUAAUUUGGUGUUAUGGGGAGUUAGGACUGUUACUUUGAAAAAAUUAGAGUGUUUAAAGCAGGCAUUAGCUUGAAUACAUUAGCAUGGAAUAAUGAAAUAGGACGUUCGAUCCUAUUUUGUUGGUUUCUAGGAUCAACGUAAUGAUUAAUAGGGAUAGUUGGGGGCAUUAGUAUUCAAUUGUCAGAGGUGAAAUUCUUGGAUUUAUUGAAGACUAACUACUGCGAAAGCAUUUGCCAAGGAUGUUUUCAUUAAUCAAGAACGAAAGUUAGGGGAUCGAAGACGAUCAGAUACCGUCGUAGUCUUAWCCAUAAACUAUGCCGACUAGGGAUCGGAUGAUGUUAAUUUUUUAAUGACUCAUUCGGCGCCUUACGGGAAAC
RNAcentral lists this ribosomal RNA (550 nucleotides) under uncultured Glomeromycotina. RNAcentral's name for it is "SSU rRNA". It matches the Rfam family "Eukaryotic small subunit ribosomal RNA", at positions 550 to 1109 of the family's 1831-position model. Lineage: Eukaryota; Fungi; Glomeromycota. The record is from RNAcentral.